UUCAGUUUUCUUUUGACAGAUAAUUUGAUGUUUGUGUUGUUUUUCUUCUGCAGAAUUCCUCUUUCCAAGUACUGUUGAUCUCUGGUUCUGGAUUGUCAUUUAUUGUAUUUAAUUAUGGCAGUAUUCCCCAAACUAAACAUAUUGCACUGGUGAGAAAUGGUUUCAAAUAUUUUACAUUUAUUUUAAAUAUUCAAAAUAGCUUUAGCUCCUCUUUUCCACAGGUCUGUAACCAAAAUGUUUGUAAUCAUUAUUUAGGCUGGAUAUGACACUGAUGAUUCAACCAGUUAUUAUACAGUUCCGGGGUCUAACGUCACUAACCUGACCCACUCCACAAAUGUCAAUGUUAAGGGCCGUUGGGCUUUUCGUGUCAACACUUUGCCAAAAGAACAUGUUCUGUUUUAUCCAGCUGGUAAUCAAAACACUCAGAAUCCCUGUCAAAGUAAUGCAAGCUCACCAGCUUGGCACUUGCAGUAUCCUUUCUUGUACUUUGGACGCAAAUACCACAAGAUAUAUGUUGAUAAUAAUGGACUUUUGACGUUUGAACCAUUUUAUGAAAGACUCCCCAAGGCUUUUCCUGCCAACUCUAAUAGAGACAUUAU
This is a long non-coding RNA of Cyprinus carpio (common carp), 599 nucleotides long. RefSeq lists it as uncharacterized. Lineage: Eukaryota; Metazoa; Chordata; Actinopteri; Cypriniformes; Cyprinidae. The transcript is spliced from 3 exons. The record is from RefSeq and is a predicted model, not a curated record.